GCGGUGCAUUAGCUAGUUGGUAAGGUAAAGGGCUUACCAAGGCGAUGAUGCAUAGCCCGAGUUGAGAGACUGAUCGGGCCACAUUGGGGACUGAGACACGGGCCCAAACUCCUACGGGAGGCAGCAGUAGGGAAUCUUCCACAAUGGACGCAAGUCUGAUGGAGCAAACGCCGCGUGAGUGAAGAAGGUUUUCGGAUCGUAAAAAGCUCUGUUGUUGGUGAAGAAGGAUAGAGGUAGUAACUGGCCCUUUUAUUUGACGGUAAUCAACCCAGAAAGUCACGGGCUAACUACGCGCCCAGCAGCCGCGGUAAAU
Molecule: ribosomal RNA, 313 nt
Filed under: uncultured Lactobacillus sp.
Lineage: Bacteria; Bacillati; Bacillota; Bacilli; Lactobacillales; Lactobacillaceae
Description: bacterial SSU rRNA
Rfam family: Bacterial small subunit ribosomal RNA
Source: RNAcentral